RNAcentral lists this ribosomal RNA (378 nucleotides) under Erysiphe quercicola. RNAcentral describes it as "partial 28S-18S ribosomal RNA intergenic spacer region". Lineage: Eukaryota; Fungi; Ascomycota; Leotiomycetes; Helotiales; Erysiphaceae. The record is from RNAcentral.
GGAUUAGUGGCCGAUGGCUAUCCUGUCCUAAGACACUCGGGGGAAAGCUGCUACCGGUAGCCGCCAUUAGGCGUGAUCCGGUGGAUAGUCUCCUCCUCUUGCGGGGCGUAUGGCACAUGCGAGAUCCGGCCUCACCCGGCUGGGACUUGCGAUGUGGCGGACCGUCCUGUGGGGAACUCAGUGGGGGCAAUUGGAUAGUAGGUGUGAGUGUGGUGAGGCCCGCGUGGCUUCGCGCUCCGCAUCUGCUGUGUCAGGCCGCUUGCGGUCUGGCGCCGUCCAGUAUCAUACUCGGCCUCGUUCGCGAGGUGACGAGGGAGCAUUGCUCUCUCGACACGAUAGAUACCUGGUUGAUUCUGCCAGUAGUCAUAUGCUUGUCUC